RNAcentral lists this transfer RNA (72 nucleotides) under Camelus bactrianus (Bactrian camel). It matches the Rfam family "tRNA". Rfam says of the family: Transfer RNA (tRNA) molecules are approximately 80 nucleotides in length. Their secondary structure includes four short double-helical elements and three loops (D, anti-codon, and T loops). Lineage: Eukaryota; Metazoa; Chordata; Mammalia; Artiodactyla; Camelidae. The record is from Rfam by way of RNAcentral. RNAcentral also lists the same sequence under 2 other names.
GAGGGUACAGCUCAGUGACAGAGAGCAUGCUUAACAUGCACAAGGUCCUGGGUUCAAUCCCUGGUACCUUCG